CACUUCCGGGCGGCGCAGCCAUGGCUCCGGACCCCUGGCUCCCGCUCUACGAUGCCGCCUGCCAGACCGCCCAGGAGGUCGCCGAGAGGAUCCAGGAGCGGAACCGGUGCCAACGGAACGGGGAGAGCUCAGCCAAGCUCAACGUGGUUAUCAGAGCGUCGCUGCAGAACCUGCGGGAGAAGAUUGAUCAGCUGAAGGACUCGCUGCUUAGGGCUGUGUCAACACACCAAAUCACGCAGCUGGAGGGAGACAGGAGGCAGAAUUUGGUGGAUGACCUUCUCACACGACAGAAACAACUGCAGGCAUCUUAUAAGAAUGAAGGCCCAGAACCAGAUGUGAUAAGAUCCAGCCUGAUGACGGGAGGGGUCAAACGAGGUGUAACCAACCCGUGGCUCUUGGAAGAAUCUGAGGAAACCAGAGGGCUUGGCUUUGAUGAGCUCAGGCAGCAGCAGCAAAGGAUCAUAGAAGAGCAAGAUGCUGGACUUGAUGCUCUUUCUUCAAUCAUAUCCCGGCAAAAACAAAUGGGGCAGGAAAUUGGGAAUGAACUGGAUGAACAGAAUGAGAUCAUCGAUGACCUCACUAACUUGGUGGAAAACACAGACGAGAAACUCCGCAACCAGACACGGCAUGUGAAGAUGGUGGACAAGAAAUCAACGUCCUGUGACCCAAUGAAACACGUGGCCGUUUGGAGCCUUUAAUAACUGCUUGCAGAGCCUGUUCUUGAUUUCUUUGAGUACUGCCAAUGAUUUUGAUGUCAGAGUUGAGAGGAAUGCUGGUGGUGAUUGUGCUGCUGCUGAUUGCAAUUGCUGUGGUUGCUGUCUGGCCAACACACUAACGUGGCUUUGGGACCUGUUGGAGCUGCUGCUCCACAGCUGAGCACGGAGGACUCCGGGGAAGAGACUGACUCUGUGCAAAGACCUUCUUGCAUUUUAAAUAAACUCCACAGUCUUGAGAAUGAAUCUGUGUCCAACAGACAUCCCUUCUUCCUUUGGUGCACAGCUGAAGAGCAUGGUUUGGAGUGUUUGAACAUGAAAGGACCCUCUGCCCACCUUCCCAUUGCACUGGGGAGGCUUCAGCUGCCUGUUCCAUAGAUGAGCUUCUUGGUGCAUCUGCUCCCGAGCCCACCCUGGUGCCAGGGGCCUGACCAGCCCCUUCUUCUGAGCCACCAGUCCUGAGGGCUUUAAAAUACUAAAAUAAAGGUGUGCUUUGGGAGUACAGCAUUGGUGCUCCUCUGCUUUCUGAUACCUUCCCUUGAAAUGAAAAUGCUUCUGUUUCUCAAGGAAUGGAUGUUUUGGGGCAUGGCUGCAUCUGGCUGCGGGCAGAAUGGGGAGUGAGAGCACAGAGAGCCCUGCAGGGAGGAACAGGAGCCCCACGAGCCCCAAAGAAACCUAGAGGGUGAGUCAGUCAGUCCUUGGCCCUUGGGGAGUUAUCGAUGUUGAUCUCCACAGAUAGAAAUACUAACAGCAGCAGGUCCUGCCCCAGGUACAUCAGGGUGGGGAGCUUUGCCCAGCGUGUGCUCUGCCAGGCUGGCUGCAGGAGAUGUGCUGGCAUUAACCAUCUCGGCCACCAAGGUCUGUCUCUUUCUUUUAUAACUUUUCACACAGUUAAACCUGAGAGGAAGGAUUACCUACUUAAAAACUAAUAAUAAAAUUUUAAAAAGAGGUAUUGAAUGUUUGCUUCUUGCCAAGAAAACAAUUAUUUUGUUAUACUUGCCAGUAUUUCAGAAUUGAUAGAGCAAGCAAUAAAUAUUGAAUAAAAGCUGAUCCAUUUAUAUACA
Apus apus (common swift) is the source of this 1777-nucleotide RNA transcript. It is a transcript of the gene named syntaxin 8, with no coding region annotated. The transcript has 9 exons. The record is from RefSeq and is a predicted model, not a curated record. NCBI's taxonomy places the organism in Eukaryota, Metazoa, Chordata, Aves, Apodiformes, Apodidae.